Amphiprion ocellaris (clown anemonefish) is the source of this 297-nucleotide long non-coding RNA. NCBI's taxonomy places the organism in Eukaryota, Metazoa, Chordata, Actinopteri, Pomacentridae. The record is from Ensembl.
UUACAGAGUGAAAGAAGCAGUUUCUCCUUAAGGUCAGAGAUUGCAGCAUCUGAGGGCCUCUUCAAAAGAAGAUGUAGUUGAUGAAGGCGUUCUGGAGCAGGACCAGAAAGACCACGACCAAGCAGCCUUGAGAUCUUAGGCAGUGUCUCCCUCAGACCAAAGAACUACAGACUCUUCACAACCUGCUCAAACUCUUGGUACAGGACCUCACCACACGGGUCAAGAAGGUUUCCGUCUCAUUUCUACUCUGAAGCUCACCUUCUCCUGCUCAAACUGCUGACAAAUGUUUCUGCUGCU